AGUGAACGCUGGCGGUAGGCCUAACACAUGCAAGUCGAACGGCAGCACAGUAAGAUCUUGCUCUUACAGGUGGCGAGUGGCGGACGGGUGAGGAAUACAUCGGAAUCUACUUUUUCGUGGGGGAUAACGUAGGGAAACUUACGCUAAUACCGCAUACGACCUACGGGUGAAAGCAGGGGAUCUUCGCACCUUGCGCGAUUGAAUGAGCCGAUGCCGGGUUAGCUAGUUGGCGGGGUAAAGGCCCACCAAGGCGACGAUCCGUAGCUGGUCUGAGAGGAUGAUCAGCCACACUGGAACUGAGACACGGUCCAGACUCCUACGGGAGGCAGCAGUGGGGAAUAUUGGACAAUGGGCGCAAGCCUGAUCCAGCCAUACCGCGUGGGUGAAGAAGGCCUUCGGGUUGUAAAGCCCUUUUGUUGGGAAAGAAAAGCAGCAGGUUAAUACCCCGCUGUUCUGACGGUACCCAAAGAAUAAGCACCGGCUAACUUCGUG
Molecule: ribosomal RNA, 492 nt
Filed under: uncultured bacterium
Lineage: Bacteria
Description: partial 16S ribosomal RNA
Rfam family: Bacterial small subunit ribosomal RNA
Source: RNAcentral